UUCACUAAGCAGCUUAAACAUGCAAGUCGAGGGUAACAUUGUGCUUGCACAGAUGACGACCGGCGCACGGGUGCGUAACGCGUAUAGAACCUACCUUUUACUGGAGAAUAGCCUUUAGAAAUGAAGAUUAAUGCUCCAUGGUAUUGAGUUUUGGCAUCAAGACUUAAUUAAAGAUUUAUUGGUAAAAGAUGGCUAUGCGUCCUAUUAGUUAGAUGGUAAGGUAACGGCUUACCAUGACUUUGAUAGGUAGGGGUCCUGAGAGGGAGAUCCCCCACACUGGUACUGAGACACGGACCAGACUCCUACGGGAGGCAGCAGUGAGGAAUAUUGGGCAAUGGAGGCAACUCUGACCCAGCCAUGCCGCGUGAAGGAUGACUGCCCUAUGGGUUGUAAACUUCUUUUAUACAGGAAGAAACACUGGUAUGUAUACCAGCUUGACGGUACUGUAAGAAUAAGGACCGGCUAACUCCGUGCCAGCAGCCGCGGUAAUACGGAGGGUCCGAGCGUUAUCCGGAAUCAUUGGGUUUAAAGGGUCCGCAGGCGGUCGAUUAAGUCAGAGGUGAAAUCCCAUAGCUCAACUAUGGAACUGCCUUUGAUACUGGUUGACUUGAGUCAUAUGGAAGUAGAUAGAAUGUGUAGUGUAGCGGUGAAAUGCAUAGAUAUUACACAGAAUACCGAUUGCGAAGGCAGUCUACUACGUAUGUACUGACGCUGAGGGACGAAAGCGUGGGGAGCGAACAGGAUUAGAUACCCUGGUAGUCCACGCCGUAAACGAUGGAUACUAGUUGUUGGGCAUUAGCUCAGUGACUAAGCGAAAGUGAUAAGUAUCCCACCUGGGGAGUACGGUCGCAAGACUGAAACUCAAAGGAAUUGACGGGGGCCCGCACAAGCGGUGGAGCAUGUGGUUUAAUUCGAUGAUACGCGAGAACCUUACCAGGGCUUAAAUGUAGUCUGACAGCUUUAGAGAUAGAGUUUUCUUCGGACAGAAUUACAGUGCUGCAUGUUGUCGUCAGCUCGUGCAAUGAGGUGUCAAGUAGUCCUAUAACGAGCCGCACCCCCUG
This 1061-nucleotide ribosomal RNA is filed under the name Polaribacter sp. CS05. Its description in RNAcentral is "bacterial SSU rRNA". It matches the Rfam family "Bacterial small subunit ribosomal RNA", at positions 36 to 1108 of the family's 1533-position model. The record is from RNAcentral. Lineage: Bacteria; Pseudomonadati; Bacteroidota; Flavobacteriia; Flavobacteriales; Flavobacteriaceae.